Molecule: ribosomal RNA, 253 nt
Filed under: uncultured bacterium
Lineage: Bacteria
Description: partial 16S ribosomal RNA
Rfam family: Bacterial small subunit ribosomal RNA
Source: RNAcentral
UACGUAGGGGGCAAGCGUUGUCCGGAUUUAUUGGGCGUAAAGCGCUCGCAGGCGGUCCGAUGCGUCGUGCGUGAAAGACCCCGGCUCAACUGGGGAGGGUCGUGCGAUACGGUCGGACUCGAGGCCAGUAGGGGAGCGUGGAAUUCCUGGUGUAGCGGUGAAAUGCGCAGAUAUCAGGAGGAACACCAGCGGCGAAGGCGGCGCUCUGGGCCGGAACUGACACUGAGGAGCGAAAGCGUGGGUAGCAAACAGG